Molecule: unclassified non-coding RNA, 310 nt
Filed under: plant metagenome
Description: partial contains 5.8S ribosomal RNA, internal transcribed spacer 2, and large subunit ribosomal RNA
Rfam family: 5.8S ribosomal RNA (bases 1-105)
Source: RNAcentral
GAAAUGUGAUAAGUAAUGUGAAUUGCAGAAUUCAGUGAAUCAUCGAAUCUUUGAACGCACAUUGCGCCCGCCAGCAUUCUGGCGGGCAUGCCUGUUCGAGCGUCAUUUCAACCCUCGAGCCCCCCCGGGGGCCUCGGUGUUGGGGGACGGCACACCAGCCGCCCCCGAAAUGCAAUGGCGACCCCGCCGCAGCCUCCCCUGCGUAGUAGCACACACCUCGCACCGGAGCGCGGAGGCGGUCACGCCGUAAAACGCCCAACUUUCUUAGAGUUGACCUCGGAUCAGGUAGGAAUACCCGCUGAACUUAAGC